Non-coding RNA from Pelobates cultripes (western spadefoot toad), 205 nucleotides. Lineage: Eukaryota; Metazoa; Chordata; Amphibia; Anura; Pelobatidae. The record is from the annotation of a GenBank genome assembly.
CACAUGGACACUACACUAAAUACCACAACACCAAGACACAAAGUGAUAAAAACGCAAAGCAAGGCGAUAAACAAAUGAUUGGGAGAAUAUGGCCUAUACGACUCCUGGAGAACAUUUCACCCAAAUGAGAACUCAUUCUUUUUCUACUCAGCAGUGCACAAAUCAUAUUCAAGGAUUGAUUUCUUUCUCAUAGCGGGCCCAUUAC